Molecule: ribosomal RNA, 468 nt
Filed under: uncultured bacterium
Lineage: Bacteria
Description: partial 16S ribosomal RNA
Rfam family: Bacterial small subunit ribosomal RNA
Source: RNAcentral
GACGAACGCUGGCGGCGUGCUUAACACAUGCAAGUCGAACGGAAAGGCCCUGCUUUUGUGGGGUGCUCGAGUGGCGAACGGGUGAGUAACACGUGAGUAACCUGCCCUUGACUUUGGGAUAACUUCAGGAAACUGGGGCUAAUACCGGAUAGGAGCUCCUGCUGCAUGGUGGGGGUUGGAAAGUUUCGGCGGUUGGGGAUGGACUCGCGGCUUAUCAGCUUGUUGGUGGGGUAGUGGCUUACCAAGGCUUUGACGGGUAGCCGGCCUGAGAGGGUGACCGGCCACAUUGGGACUGAGGUACGGCCCAGACUCCUACGGGAGGCAGCAGUGGGGAAUAUUGCAAAAUGGGCGGAAGCCUGAUGCAGCAACGCCGCGUGCGGGAUGACGGCCUUCGGGUUGUAAACCGCUUUCGCCUGUGACGAAGCGUGAGUGACGGUAAUGGGUAAAGAAGCACCGGCUAACUACGUG